This 253-nucleotide ribosomal RNA is filed under the name uncultured bacterium. RNAcentral's name for it is "partial 16S ribosomal RNA". It matches the Rfam family "Bacterial small subunit ribosomal RNA", at positions 524 to 776 of the family's 1533-position model. The record is from RNAcentral.
UACAGAGGCCUCGAGCGUUAAUCGGAGUCACUGGGCUUAAAGGGUGCGUAGGCGGGCCGGCAAGUGCUUUGUGAAAUCCCAUGGCUCAACCAUGGAAUUGCUUGGCAGACUGCCGGUCUUGAGGUCGGUAGAGGUCGCUGGAACUCUAGGUGGAGCGGUGAAAUGCGUAGAUAUCUAGAGGAACGCCGAUGGUGAAGACAGGCGACUGGGCCGAUUCUGACGCUGAGGCACGAAAGCGUGGGGAGCAAACGGG